Molecule: unclassified non-coding RNA, 269 nt
Filed under: uncultured fungus
Lineage: Eukaryota; Fungi
Description: partial contains small subunit ribosomal RNA, internal transcribed spacer 1, and 5.8S ribosomal RNA
Rfam family: Eukaryotic small subunit ribosomal RNA (bases 1-73)
Source: RNAcentral
GCAAACUUGGUCAUUUAGAGGAAGUAAAAGUCGUAACAAGGUUUCCGUAGGUGAACCUGCGGAAGGAUCAUUACAAAACAAAUCCACGCACCCUGUUGAAUAUUGACUGGCUCGUGCUGCGCACUCGUUGCGAGGCGAUCACUCGAUCGAUUCUGGCCGAGUGCGCAGCACGAGCAAAGUAAAAAAAACGCGACGAUGACAGAUGGACACCAACAGACACCACUUUUAACAAUGGAUCUCUUGGCUCUUGCAUCGAUGAAGAACGCAGC